CCUACGGGAGGCAGCAGUGGGGAAUAUUGGGCAAUGGGCGCAAGCCUGACCCAGCAACGCCGCGUGAAGGAAGAAGGCCCUCGGGUUGUAAACUUCUUUUGGCAGGGACGAAACAAAUGACGGUACCUGACGAAUAAGCCACGGCUAACGACGUGCCAGCAGCCGCGGUAAUACGUAGGGGGCAAGCGUUAUCCGGAUUUACUGGGUGUAAAGGGCGGGUAGGCGGGAGAGCAAGUCAGAUGUGAAAUUCCAGGGCUCAACCCUGGAACUGGAUUUUAAACUGUUUUUCUUGAGUGUUGGAGAGGCAGGCGGAAUUCCGUGUGUAGCGGUGAAAUGCGUAGAUAUACGGAGGAACCCCAGUGGCGAAGGCGGCCUGCUGGACAUUAACUGACGCUGAGGCGCGAAAGCGUGGGGAGCAAACAGGAUUAGAUACCCUUGUAGUC
RNAcentral lists this ribosomal RNA (443 nucleotides) under uncultured bacterium. RNAcentral describes it as "partial 16S ribosomal RNA". It matches the Rfam family "Bacterial small subunit ribosomal RNA", at positions 338 to 795 of the family's 1533-position model. The record is from RNAcentral.